GGAGAAUCACCGACAGAUGGAAGUGUUUUUGAAUAUUGGAGAAGCUUGCAAGCUCGAGUCCUCUUUCGUUUGGCGCACGAAACAAGAAAAUAUUUUCCCAAGAUGGAAGAUUACUUGCUAUACUGUAUCAUCUUUAUGGGGUUUCACACCAUCAAUUUCUUGAUGAACUUGAAGAAGAAGAAGCUUAAAAUACUUCCGGUUUUCCCAACCGAGAAAGAGUUGUUACUAUAUAUAGUAUGGCCGACUAACGUCUCGAAAAAAUAUAUCGUUUUGGCACUUGUACAAGAAGAGGCAAUAUCCGCUGACGAUUAAGAGAUUGUUACAAAAAUGGGAUACCGUUUAAACGUUUUUUUUUCUCCCACAAUAUUGUAACACAACGCCUCAAGUAAAAGAGAAGUGAAGGAAAAAAACGUAUCAGAUACUCUACCCAAGAAGAGAGAGGAGAAAAAAAAUUUAAGACAAUAAGCUGGUUAAGUCAAGGUUAAGUCAAGGUCAUUCAAGGUCAUUCAAGGUCAUUCAAGGUCAUUUGAAGGUCAAGUCAAGGACAUUCAAAGUCGUAUGAAGGUCAUUCAAGGUCAUUUGAAGGUCAAGUCAAGGUCAUUUGAAGGUCAAGUCAAGGACAUUCAAGGUCAUAUGAAGGUCAAAUCAAGGACAUUCAAGGUCAUAUGAAGGUCAUUCAAGGUCAAAUCAAGGACAUUCAAGGUCAUAUGAAGGUCAUUCAAGGUCAUUUGAAGGUCAAAUCAAGGAUAUUCAAGGUCAUAUGAAGGUCAUUCAAGAUCAAGUCAAGGUCAUUCAAGGUCAAGUCAAGGUCAUUCAAGG
Long non-coding RNA from Leptopilina boulardi, 819 nucleotides. RefSeq lists it as uncharacterized. The transcript has 6 exons. The record is from RefSeq and is a predicted model, not a curated record. NCBI's taxonomy places the organism in Eukaryota, Metazoa, Arthropoda, Insecta, Hymenoptera, Figitidae.